This is a long non-coding RNA of Larimichthys crocea (large yellow croaker), 341 nucleotides long. RefSeq lists it as uncharacterized. The transcript is spliced from 3 exons. The record is from RefSeq and is a predicted model, not a curated record. NCBI's taxonomy places the organism in Eukaryota, Metazoa, Chordata, Actinopteri, Sciaenidae.
GACAGACUCAAGAAGAUGCAGACUUCACUGUACCACUGUGGGAAGGCAUAUGAAGAGGAUCACUUAAAGUGGGCGUGAUCUGACCUACGACCCAGCACAUGAUGCUUCGCGCUGCAGCACGUUCCAUGGCAUGUCCGCUUACACAUUACACCACAGAGACGAGGAGGACUCAGCAACUCAGCAGUACUCAGUGAGCAAAUGUUACUAACAGAGCUGUUAUGAUCACAAAAGACAACAAAGAGGAGGGGGGUAUAAUAAAAGAAACCCGGCAAACAAUGUGGCAUAUGAUACCCCGUGAAUCUCCCGUGAAUCUCAUCUCGAAACCCUCUCCCCUCCCUAUA